RNAcentral lists this ribosomal RNA (1403 nucleotides) under Leotiomycetes sp. genotype 723 JMUR-2016. Its description in RNAcentral is "eukaryotic LSU rRNA". The stretch from base 816 to 1403 matches the Rfam family "Eukaryotic large subunit ribosomal RNA", at positions 1 to 601 of the family's 3401-position model. The record is from RNAcentral. Lineage: Eukaryota; Fungi; Ascomycota; Leotiomycetes.
GAUUCCUUCUGUGGCAGAGCUUAACGGAGACCUUGCACCCGAGAGGGGGGAACGACUAUAAAAAACUCCCAGCGCAAGUCAGUUUUACUGGCAACACAAUCGAAUUGCGGGGACGCUUUAAGGCUCAUCAGUACCAACUGUUUCUACAUAAGCAGGGCUAGCAUAGCUAGAGGUCACAAUCUGAUGGGAUGCUACAAUAAGCAAUCCGCAGCGGCUUCUAGCCGUCCACAGACUAAGUGGUUGUGGGUAGGAGAUCCCUACUUAAGAUAUAGUCGGGCCCUAUAGGCUACUAUAGGGGUUCUGCGUCCGUAGGUGAACCUGCGGAAGGAUCAUUAAAGAAUAGCAAAGGGGCGUCAGUCUAGGCUGUCGCUCUGAUGUUAACCCGUGUCUACUUACAUUUGUUGCUUUGGCAGGCCGUGGGUAACCACUGCGGGCUUCGGCCUUCAAGUGCCUGCCAAAGGUCCAAACUCUGAAAUUUAGUGAUGUCUGAGUACUAUAUAAUAGUUAAAACUUUCAACAACGGAUCUCUUGGUUCUGGCAUCGAUGAAGAACGCAGCGAAAUGCGAUAAGUAAUGUGAAUUGCAGAAUUCAGUGAAUCAUCGAAUCUUUGAACGCACAUUGCGCCCUGUGGUAUUCCGCAGGGCAUGCCUGUUCGAACGUCAUUAGUACCAAUCAAGCCUAAUGCUUGGUCUUGGGGUAUGCCUGUCUGGCAGCCUCUAAAAUCAGUGGCAUUGCUAGUAGGCUCUCUGCGUAGUAAAUAACCCUCGCUACAGAGUUCUAUCAGUCACCCGCCAAAACCCCCAAUUUCUCAGGGUUGACUUCGGAUCAGGUAGGGAUACCCGCUGAACUUAAGCAUAUCAAUAAGCGGAGGAAAAGAAACCAACAGGGAUUACCUCAGUAACGGCGAGUGAAGCGGUAACAGCUCAAAUUUGAAAGCUGCCAACAGGCCGCAUUGUAAUUUGUAGAAGAUGCUUUGGGUGUUGGCCUAUUCUAAGUUCCUUGGAACAGGACGUCAUAGAGGGUGAGAAUCCCGUAUGUGAUUAGUGCCAUCCCCCGUGUAAAGCUCUUUCGACGAGUCGAGUUGUUUGGGAAUGCAGCUCAAAAUGGGUGGUAAAUUUCAUCUAAAGCUAAAUAUUGGCCAGAGACCGAUAGCGCACAAGUAGAGUGAUCGAAAGAUGAAAAGCACUUUGGAAAGAGAGUUAAACAGUACGUGAAAUUGUUGAAAGGGAAGCGCUUGCAAUCAGACUUGCAGGUAGUUGAUCAUCCGAGGUUCUCCCCGGUGCACUCGACUGCUUUCAGGCCAGCAUCGGUUUCAGUGGUGGGAUAAAGGCCGUGAGAAUGUGGCUCUUCGGAGUGUUAUAGCUCACGGUGCAAUGCCGCCUACUGGGACCGAGGACCGCGCU